CCUUGUACACACCGCCCGUCACACCAUGGGAGUGGGUUUCACCAGGAGCAGGUAGCCUAACCGCAAGGGGGGCGCCUACCACGGUGAGAUUCAUGACCGGGGUG
Molecule: ribosomal RNA, 104 nt
Filed under: uncultured bacterium
Lineage: Bacteria
Description: partial 16S ribosomal RNA
Rfam family: Bacterial small subunit ribosomal RNA
Source: RNAcentral